GGGGGAAUAGCUCAGUGGUAGAGCGCUGGAUUCCAGACCCAGCGGUCGGGGGUUCGAUCCCCUCUUCCCUCA
This is a transfer RNA of 72 nucleotides. It matches the Rfam family "tRNA". From Rfam's summary of the family: Transfer RNA (tRNA) molecules are approximately 80 nucleotides in length. The record is from Rfam.